CUUUUGCCUGAUAGUGUGUGUCACUCCCAUUGCACCAGGGAAGGAGAAGGAAGGUGCAGGAUGUGCUCAGGCUGUCACAAAACAACUGCAGAGUUUCAGCUCCCUGUUGCAUUAGUCCUUCAAGGACAAGAUACAGUGUUGCCAUGCCAGCUCUAUCUUUGAGAUGGCCUUUCGUACAGAUUUCAUACCUAUCUUUUUUUCUCCUGUGUACAUUUCAGUGGCAUCUGUACAGGUGUAAGUACUGCUCACACAUUACUGUGUGAGUAAUGCUAAGAGGAGGGCUGAGAUGACAUCCAGGAUGGGAGGGAAAGGGGACAGGAAGGUCAGGGCAGUCAGGCCCAGUAAACUUUGAUGGGCUGAUACAUUAUGGCAUCAUUUGGAGUACCGGCUGAAAGGCACAUCGCCUGGAAGCAUCAGGAGAGGGAGAUGCAGCUAGGAAGGCAGCAGAGACACCAGAAGGCACAGGUGAUAGAUCGUUUCUCUUUCAAAAGAAGCCUAUGCAACAGAUCCUGUAAUGUUUCUUAGGGAGUGCAGAAGCACUUUGGCAAUAUGGGGAUUGCCAUUCUGACUGUGUCUUGUGGCAGCUAUCACCACAGACAUGUGACUCCUGGGUGGCAGCUCUCCUGUUCCCUCCAGCAGCUUUUUGUUUGUAUUGGUUCAGCAUUUUUCUCUGUCAGAAGGACCUGGGUCUUGUGACAGAAACUCAUUUUAGCUUGGACCUGUGAGGUGUAUUCCUCAAAGCACGCCUUAAAAAAAAAAAGAAAAGAAAAGAAAA
Long non-coding RNA from Tympanuchus pallidicinctus (lesser prairie-chicken), 775 nucleotides. RefSeq lists it as uncharacterized. The transcript is spliced from 2 exons. The record is from RefSeq and is a predicted model, not a curated record. NCBI's taxonomy places the organism in Eukaryota, Metazoa, Chordata, Aves, Galliformes, Phasianidae.